Molecule: ribosomal RNA, 564 nt
Filed under: uncultured Glomeromycotina
Lineage: Eukaryota; Fungi; Glomeromycota
Description: SSU rRNA
Rfam family: Eukaryotic small subunit ribosomal RNA
Source: RNAcentral
UUGGAGGGCAAGUCUGGUGCCAGCAGCCGCGGUAAUUCCAGCUCCAAUAGCGUAUAUUAAAGUUGUUGCAGUUAAAAAGCUCGUAGUUGAAUUUCGGGAUCAAUAUAUCGGUCAUGCUUGGGUAUGUACUGGUAUAAUUGAUUUCUCCCUUCUGAAGAACCAUGAUGUCAUUUAUUUGAUGUCGUGGGGAAUCAGGACUGUUACUUUGAAAAAAUUAGAGUGUUUAAAGCAGGCUUUCGCUUGAAUACAUUAGCAUGGAAUAAUGAAAUAGGACGUUUGAUUCUAUUUUGUUGGUUUCUAGGAUCGACGUAAUGAUUAAUAGGGAUAGUUGGGGGCAUUAGUAUUCAAUUGUCAGAGGUGAAAUUCUUGGAUUUAUUGAAGACUAACUACUGCGAAAGCAUUUGCCAAGGAUGUUUUCAUUAAUCAGGAACGAAAGUUAGGGGAUCGAAGACGAUCAGAUACCGUCGUAGUCUUAACCAUAAACUAUGCCGACUAGGGAUCGGAUGAUGUUAAUUUUUUAAUGACUCAUUCGGCGCCUUACGGGAAACCAAAGUGUUUGGGUUC